Molecule: ribosomal RNA, 307 nt
Filed under: uncultured bacterium
Lineage: Bacteria
Description: partial 16S ribosomal RNA
Rfam family: Bacterial small subunit ribosomal RNA
Source: RNAcentral
AGACAGCAGUCGCCGCGGUAAUACGAAGGGGGCUAGCGUUGCUCGGAAUGACUGGGCGUAAAGGGCGCGUAGGCGGAUGGCACAGUCAGAUGUGAAAUUCCCGGGCUUAACCUGGGGGCUGCAUUUGAUACGUGUUGUCUAGAGUGAGGAAGAGGGUCGUGGAAUUCCCAGUGUAGAGGUGAAAUUCGUAGAUAUUGGGAAGAACACCAGUGGCGAAGGCGACUCUCUGGUCUGUAACUGACGCUGAGGCGCGAAAGCGUGGGGAGCAAACAGGAUUUGAUACCCCAGUAGUCCCUGUCUCUUAUAC